Molecule: ribosomal RNA, 112 nt
Filed under: Panacibacter microcysteis
Lineage: Bacteria; Pseudomonadati; Bacteroidota; Chitinophagia; Chitinophagales; Chitinophagaceae
Source: RNAcentral
UAUGGUGGUUUUUCCGAGGGUGUUCACCUCUUCCCUUUCCGAACAGAGAAGUUAAGCCCCUUAUGGCCGAUGGUACUGCAAUACUAUGUGGGAGAGUAGGUAGCCGCCAUUC